This is a long non-coding RNA of Leopardus geoffroyi (Geoffroy's cat), 894 nucleotides long. RefSeq lists it as uncharacterized. NCBI's taxonomy places the organism in Eukaryota, Metazoa, Chordata, Mammalia, Carnivora, Felidae. The transcript has 6 exons. The record is from RefSeq and is a predicted model, not a curated record.
CGGGAAGCAGAUGGCACCAGCUAGGGGUUCCAGAGAAGGCAGUCUAAUGAAGAGACCAUUCGUAUACAUACAGACUUGUGAGCAGAGCUGAGGGAGCCAGCACAGGAUGAUGUAGGAUCCAGGGAUCCACACCAGUGGGGAGGCCUUACCACCUGGAGCACCAAGGGAAGCCACCCAGAUGCUCAGCACAUACAACAGUCGGUCAAAGAAGCCCCACGGAACGACCCACAUCGUAGACGUCACACAAAAGGCCUCGUCGGCCAUCAACCUCCAUCUGUCUUCGAAUAAUGUGAUGGUGAAACAGUUUCUUCUGUGGUUCCAAGGACCUUGAGGCCAUCUCUGUCCCAGGGGAGGCCCAUGUGCCCAACUCCCAUCCUCAACCACCCGUUCUGAGAGCUCUGAACAGAAGAUGGCACAACAGAGUCCUUGGCAGCCUUCUCUCUGAGGUUCUUCAUUUUUCAGUCAAGAGUCAGAAGGUGGUUGGAAUCAUCUUAAAGACCUCCUCACUCUCUCAUGUCUGGUGAUUGAUGCAGACUAUUGGCUGAGACCUUAGCUGGAGCUGUCUGUUGGGACACCUGUACGUGACCUCUCCGUGUGGCCUGGGCUUCCUCACAACAUUGCGGCUGGGUUCCAAGAGCAAGCAUCCCAAGAAGCAGAGAAAGGCAGAGGGAGAUCCCAAACCCAGACAUCUGGAGGAGAUCACACGGAGAUGGGGGCAGAGACUGAAGUGACGUGGCCACCAGCCAAGGAACAUCUGGAACCUCCAGAAGGUGAAAGUGUCGAGGGAAGAUCCCCAUGUAAAGCUUUUGUACAGAACGUGGCCCUUGCCUCUCCUUGGUUUUAGACUCUGGACUCCACAACCGGGAAAGAAUAAAUUCCUGUCAUUUUAAUCCA